CCAGAUUGGAAUCACUUUCAUCGAACUUCUGAAAAUUAACAUUUCUCGACUCGGGGUUGAAAGAUGGAAUUGGCUCUGCCGCUAUUUUGUCUCUCCCUGAUUUUGCUAGUGCAAACAGCAAAGAGCAACAUUUUCAAUACAAUAGGAGGAGAUGAGAGAUUCUUUGAGCAGGCCAGAAGUUCGGUCAAAGAGACGGAAAAGGUUGAGGAGGAAGUGAAAUGCCCGGUUGAUGACGGGCGAAUGGAAACGAAAGAAAUGUUAACCACUUUGAUAGCCGAAAUUAGAGAUCUCGAAAACGACGUUGCUGAUCUGAGAAAGGACCUUCACGAAAUUAAGGAGAACAAUUCAAG
Cloeon dipterum is the source of this 350-nucleotide long non-coding RNA. RefSeq lists it as uncharacterized. NCBI's taxonomy places the organism in Eukaryota, Metazoa, Arthropoda, Insecta, Ephemeroptera, Baetidae. The transcript is spliced from 3 exons. The record is from RefSeq and is a predicted model, not a curated record.